GAUGAACGCUGGCGGCGUGCCUAAUACAUGUAAGUCGAGCGAACAGAUAAGGAGCUUGCUCCUUUGACGUUAGCGGCGGACGGGUGAGUAACACGUGGGUAACCUACCUAUAAGACUGGGAUAACUUCGGGAAACCGGAGCUAAUACCGGAUAACAUUUGGAACCGCAUGGUUCUAAAGUGAAAGGUGGUUUUGCUAUCACUUAUAGAUGGACCCGCGCCGUAUUAGCUAGUUGGUAAGGUAACGGCUUACCAAGGCAACGAUACGUAGCCGACCUGAGAGGGUGAUCGGCCACACUGGAACUGAGACACGGUCCAGACUCCUACGGGAGGCAGCAGUAGGGAAUCUUCCGCAAUGGGCGAAAGCCUGACGGAGCAACGCCGCGUGAGUGAUGAAGGGUUUCGGCUCGUAAAACUCUGUUAUUAGGGAAGAACAAACGUGUAAGUAACUGUGCACGUCUUGACGGUACCUAAUCAGAAAGCCACGGCUAACUACGUG
This 497-nucleotide ribosomal RNA is filed under the name uncultured bacterium. RNAcentral's name for it is "partial 16S ribosomal RNA". It matches the Rfam family "Bacterial small subunit ribosomal RNA", at positions 28 to 507 of the family's 1533-position model. The record is from RNAcentral.